This 501-nucleotide unclassified non-coding RNA is filed under the name Hevea brasiliensis (rubber tree). Lineage: Eukaryota; Viridiplantae; Streptophyta; Magnoliopsida; Malpighiales; Euphorbiaceae. The record is from RNAcentral.
GUAGAACACAAGCUGCUGCCACGGAUAAUUGCUGGUUCAAGUGUCGGAUCGAUUAUGUGCUCCAUAGUUGCGACUCGAUCUUGGCCUGAGCUCCAGAGUUUUUUCGAAGACUCCUGGCACUCCUUGCAAUUUUUCGAUCAGUUAGGUGGAAUUUUUACUAUUUUCAGGAGAGUCAUGACCCAGGGUGCUGUACAUGAAAUCAGACAGCUGCAGGUACUUUUACGCAAUCUCACGAAUAAUCUUACUUUCCAAGAAGCCUAUGACAUGACUGGUAGAGUUCUCGGGAUUACUGUUUGCUCCCCUAGGAAACAUGAACCUCCUAGAUGCUUGAAUUACUUGACUUCACCUCAUAUUGUUAUAUGGAGUGCUGUGACUGCUUCUUGUGCCUUUCCUGGUCUCUUCGAAGCUCAAGAACUGAUGGCAAAGGAUAGAAGUGGAGAUCUUGUUCCAUAUCAUCCACCAUUUCAUUUGGGACCUGAUGACACUUCUGGUGCAUCUUCU